This 19-nucleotide microRNA is filed under the name Homo sapiens (human). RNAcentral's name for it is "hsa-miR-6090". Lineage: Eukaryota; Metazoa; Chordata; Mammalia; Primates; Hominidae. The record is from miRBase by way of RNAcentral.
GGGGAGCGAGGGGCGGGGC